RNAcentral lists this long non-coding RNA (365 nucleotides) under Cucumis sativus (cucumber). Its description in RNAcentral is "long non-coding RNA (CSAT_LNC001620)". The record is from RNAcentral. Lineage: Eukaryota; Viridiplantae; Streptophyta; Magnoliopsida; Cucurbitales; Cucurbitaceae.
GACCUUGAACAUAGGUAUACAAACAUUUAAUGAAGGAACAAGUAGUAGUUACCCGAUAGUUGAUGAAGGACGAGAUAUGCUUCUGUUGUGCAGAAUCAGAUGGUGGAUCUUCAGUCUCAGCCCGUCCCAGAGGGUUCUGAACCACUAACUCAGGAUGAGAUAUGCGAGGCAGUUUUGGGUAGACGACUGGGCUACUCAAAAGGCCUUGAUUGGGGCCCAAAACCUAAGUCUAGGACUGCCGCUUCAUCUUCUUCCUCCAAUAUGUAUGACUACCAGACACACAUAGCAGAGGUUAACGACCUCAAAAUGAGACUUGACAACGCUAACCAAAUUCUCGAAGAACAACGCCUGUGGGACGAGGAGCG